Pseudonaja textilis is the source of this 264-nucleotide non-coding RNA. The record is from RefSeq and is a predicted model, not a curated record. NCBI's taxonomy places the organism in Eukaryota, Metazoa, Chordata, Lepidosauria, Squamata, Elapidae.
CAUUGUAUAAAGUAUACAAAAAAUACAAAAGAAAUAAUAACAUCAGCCAAAGCAUUCAUCCAGCAUAUUUCCAUCAUUUCUGAACACUCUGAUCCAAUGGAUUUACCAUCUUCUUAGUGUACAAUUUCAAUAUUUCCUAAGGAAUAUUAUUUGUAGAAGACAAUUCUAAUGACUCCCAGCUUCAUCGACUGGAAGGACCACUGUAUUCUCCACAUUGUGAUUUACUUAUGAUGAAAAUGUUUAAAUAAACUACAGUAAUAAAAA